CCUACGGGGGGCAGCAGUGAGGAAUAUUGGUCAAUGGGCGCGAGCCUGAACCAGCCAAGUAGCGUGAAGGAUGACUGCCCUACGGGUUGUAAACUUCUUUUAUAAAGGAAUAAAGUGAGGCACGUGUGCCUUUUUGUAUGUACUUUAUGAAUAAGGAUCGGCUAACUCCGUGCCAGCAGCCGCGGUAAUACGGAGGAUCCGAGCGUUAUCCGGAUUUAUUGGGGUUAAAGGGAGCGUAGAUGGGUUGUUAAGUCAGUUGUGAAAGUUUGCUGCUCAACCGUAAAAUUGCAAUUGAUACUGGCAGCCUUGAUUACAGUUGAGGUAUGCGGAAUUCGUGGUGUAGCGGUGAAAUGCUUAGAUAUCACGAAGAACUCCGAUUGCGAAGGCCGCUUACUAAACUGCCACUGACAUUGAUGCUCGACAGUGUGGGUAUCAAACAGGAUUAGAUACCCGAGUAGUC
RNAcentral lists this ribosomal RNA (460 nucleotides) under uncultured bacterium. Its description in RNAcentral is "partial 16S ribosomal RNA". It matches the Rfam family "Bacterial small subunit ribosomal RNA", at positions 338 to 795 of the family's 1533-position model. The record is from RNAcentral.